UCUUUCACGUGUUUUAUGUAUAACUAAAAAUGCCACCUGCCCUCUACCUUUCCGGGCCAUGCGAGAUCUGCGAGCAACCGGCUCACGGCAAUCAUUUCGGUGUGCUCAGUUGCCGAGCGUGUGCCGCAUUUUUCCGAAGAGCCGCACUUCAAAAUGCAAAAUAUCAGGAUAGAGUUUGCAGAAAGGGAAAUUGCAUUGGAAAUGAUUUAUAUCGCUGUAAAAUCUGUCGGUUGAAAAAGUGUUGUGAAGUUGGGAUGAACUCGAGCAGUGGAAUUUCAAAACGACCGGGACCUCAUUUCGUCUUCCCUCCGUCCAACGAACUACACGAAAACCAGCGCACCUCAAAGUUUGGCAAAUUUUCUCGGCCGGCCCGAAUUCAUUUUGUGCUGUGAGCCGGACAAAGCCAGCUCCACGAAACGUCUGGUGGAUGUGACAAGUCUUGUCGAUAAAGCUUGGGCGAUUUUUCAAGAGGAUGCUGCAUAUUCAUGGAGUCCUAAUCAUUACCCUAACUCACUGGAAAAGCUAACCUUCGAGAUGGAAGAAAUCAAAUUAAAAGAGUCGAGCAAAAAACUGGAGAUUGCGACAACUAUUGGACGAAAUGAGGCGUUGCUAUUUUUGGAGCAAUCAUUUUUGGGAGCUGCUCAAUGGUUUGCCAGGCUUCCAGAAUUUUCGAUGCUAGACCCGCAAAUUAAGAUAGAUAUUCUCAAAACUUCCUGGAUGAUUUGGGCUCGACUGGACAAGCUAGCAGCAACUGCGGAUUUUCAUAGACAAAAAUUGCUGGGAAAUGAUGUAUACAUGUGGACAGACAAUACUUGCAUGAAUCCUGGAAAUGUUAAAAUCGAUAUAAAAUGGAGUUCGAACUAUUCUGUGGAGCAGUUGAGAGGAUUUCUAGUCCCCGAUAUCGAAAAAUACUGGCGACAUGCUCUUUCGGACCUGGUAGAACUGGACCCCACAAACGUUGAGCUCAACUUCAUGCUCAUUCAGUUGUGCCUGAACAGUGCUGGGCAGAAAUAUCAGGGCCACGUGCUAGAAGCCACUGAGAAAAUACUGCAAAUUCAAUCGGAUAAUAUGCACGAGUAUUAUACCAAGAAGCUGAAGCUAGUCAACUAUUCUGGAAGACUUGCGAGGCUGAUGAAGAUCAAUAGAGCUAUUGAAGCAGACGUGAGGGAUCGGAAAGAGAAGAAUCAUAUUGCUAAAGUGUUCGAUUUGUUUUUUGUUGAGUACUCCCAUCCGGAAAUGUUUGAAUUUUCUUGAUACGGUUUUUUCAAUAAAGUUUUCAAUAAUUU
RNAcentral lists this unclassified non-coding RNA (1286 nucleotides) under Caenorhabditis elegans. RNAcentral's name for it is "Non-coding transcript of protein-coding gene nhr-133". Lineage: Eukaryota; Metazoa; Nematoda; Chromadorea; Rhabditida; Rhabditidae. The record is from RNAcentral.